This 309-nucleotide ribosomal RNA is filed under the name uncultured Anaerolineaceae bacterium. RNAcentral describes it as "bacterial SSU rRNA". It matches the Rfam family "Bacterial small subunit ribosomal RNA", at positions 1059 to 1381 of the family's 1533-position model. The record is from RNAcentral. Lineage: Bacteria; Bacillati; Chloroflexota; Anaerolineae; Anaerolineales; Anaerolineaceae.
CUCGUGUCGUGAGAUGUUCGGUUAAGUCCGCUAACGAGCGCAACCCUCGCUGUGUGUUACAAGUGUCACACGGAACUGCCGGUCAUAAACCGGAGGAAGGUGGGAUGACGUCAAGUCAGCAUGGCCUUUAUAUCCUGGGCUACACACACGCUACAAUGGGAAGGGACAAUAGGUUGCGAAGCCGCGAGGCGGAGCCAAUCCAGCAAAACUUCCCUCAGUUCAGAUUGCAGGCUGCAACUCGCCUGCAUGAAGUUGGAGUUGCUAGUAAACGCAGGUCAGCCAUACUGCGUUGAAUACGUUCCCGGGCUU